This 516-nucleotide ribosomal RNA is filed under the name uncultured bacterium. RNAcentral describes it as "bacterial SSU rRNA". It matches the Rfam family "Bacterial small subunit ribosomal RNA", at positions 347 to 863 of the family's 1533-position model. The record is from RNAcentral.
GGCAGCAGUAGGGAAUAUUGGGCAAUGGGCGAGAGCCUGACCCAGCCAUGCCGCGUGCAGGAAGAAGGCUUUCUGAGUCGUAAACUGCUUUUGACAGGGAAGAAUAAGCUGGACGUGUCCAGUGAUGACGGUACCUGCAGAAUAAGCACCGGCUAACUCCGUGCCAGCAGCCGCGGUAAUACGGAGGGUGCGAGCGUUGUCCGGAUUUAUUGGGUUUAAAGGGUGCGUAGGCGGCCCGUUAAGUCCGGGGUGAAAGCCCGCUGCUCAACAGCGGAACUGCCCUGGAUACUGACGGGCUUGAGUACAGACGAGGUUGGCGGAAUGGACGGAGUAGCGGUGAAAUGCAUAGAUACCGUCCAGAACCCCGAUUGCGAAGGCAGCUGACUAGGCUGUUACUGACGGUGAGGCACGACAGCGUGGGGAGCGAACAGGAUUAGAUACCCUGGUAGUCCACGCCGUAAACGAUGGAUACUCGCUGCGAGCUAAAGAUUGUUCGUGGCUUAGGGAAACCGAUAA